GGUGGUGGGUGGGUGGGUGGGAAGGAACCCUCAAGUUGAUGUGCAAGUAUAGUUGAAACGCUUGUGUGAUACCUCUAGCUAUGUGUUAUAAGGUAAGUAUGAUUUAUAUGAAGCCAGAGAAAAAAAGUCUGGUUACGCACAAAAUUACAGUGAAGUUUCUAUCUCCAGACUUUUAGUCAUGGAAUUAUUUUGUUCACCACACUUGGGAGUUGUUCAGUACUUCAGAUCUCACAUCACCGUGUUUUUUGGAGUUUUCAUUGUGUUCUAUGGAAAUAACGAUAUGAUGCUAGUUUGGAUUUCCCCAAUACACAGUUUAUUAUUUAUAAGAAAAAAUGUUCCUAAGUUCCUGGUUAAAUAUAAAGGUACUGAGUUGCCAAAUGACAGCUUUCUAAAGAGACCCCCCUGAAAGGAGUUGGCUCAGGUUUGUAGAUGGCUUCCUUCUAAUUAAUCUUGGGAAGGAAUAUUCCCUUCCAAUCGGGAUGAGGUUUUUCUGAUGGUCUAACAGGUGUCUUUGCCAAACUUUAGACACUUUAGAUAUCACCUUAGUUACUGUUACUGUGUUCCACCCAGAAAGUUUAUUUCCUUUACUUGACAAAAAACCUUGACAAAGAUUUUUAGAUAGUAUCUGCUAGGCUCUCAGUUUCACUUUAAAUCUGCCUCGCCUGAGAAGAGACCAGUCCUCCAUAGUUGGUAAGGUUUCCAGCCAGCAACAACAGCCUCACCUGGAACCUUGGGAGACGUGUAAAUGAGCAGACUCCACCGCAGACCUGCUGAGUUAGACACUGUGGCGAGGGCUGGGACAGGACCCAGCUAGCCGUUUUAACACCUUUUAACUCAGGCAUGCUACUCUGAAAACCACUAUGUGGAGAAAAGUCUGCCGAUGCAUUCUCUAGUAAGCACGGAUUUCGAUUCAGACAAGUCGUGCUAAUGCAAGGAGUCUAUGGAGGGAGACAAAGAGCUGGGGAAGCCCUAUGGAUGUAACUCCCUAGCCUCCCCAGGAGGAGGAAUCUGGUUAUAAAGCAAUAGAAAUUCCCGAUGAAUAUUUGCCACCCAAGCUGAGAGUUUUGAGUCUGGUCACAUUAGGAGGCGUGAGGCAAUGAGGUCAACUCUCUGUGAGUGCUUCCAUCUUUGCGUGAGGCAAAGCCACUUCUGCUAUCCCAUCCCACUGAAUGUGGGCUCCUGGAUGCUCACGGCCACAUAGCAAUGUAUUCUUAUCUGUUAACUCCCAAGUGUAUAGUGAGUGCUUACUCUUUAUGAAGUCCAGGUGGAGAAAGACCCAAUCCCUUUAGUCAAAGGGAAUGUCAUUUGGUUCUAUGAGGAGACCCCUGAGCAUAGCGCUGCAUGUGCUCACAGAUUCGAACUCUUCUAAAUGCGCCCAAGCUGCCCUGACCUCAUAGGCAAAGCUUAGCCACGUUUACACUUAUUUGUGGCUUCUUUUACUAGCUGUGCAGCCAGGAGGAAAAGGAGCUCAUUAAAUCGCUCAGGCAGACCCUGCAUUUGAGAUCCCCCUGUGCCAACCCAAGGCCAGCCGAAAGCUACAUGGUGAAACUUUUCCCCACCCCCAGAUCCCCCAAAAGAAAUCACUAAAGAUAAGAUGAACCAUUUAGAAAAAUGAGUUGCUGCUUCAAAGCAUAGUUAGGAGCCAGGUGUGGCCGUGCAGCCUGUAAUCCCAGCAUCUAAGAGGUGGAGACAGGAGGACAAGCCUCAGGUUCAUGGCAGUUUUGAGUCCAGACUGCUACAUAAGACCCUCUCUCAAUAAACAAACAAACAAACAAAUAAACAGAAACAAAAAAAAAACCCAAAAACUAAAAACCCAAAAAA
RNAcentral lists this long non-coding RNA (1821 nucleotides) under Mus musculus (house mouse). Its description in RNAcentral is "predicted gene, 57395". Lineage: Eukaryota; Metazoa; Chordata; Mammalia; Rodentia; Muridae. The record is from RNAcentral.